AAGCGAUGCCGCCGUGCAUAUGCUGAUGUAGGAUUGCUGCUCGCUCCUGUCUCUGCUACUCAUUCACAGACCUGUCGUGUUGAGCAGUUGUUUGGCAGAUGUUAGUGGUGUUCCUACUCUCAGUCGUCAGCAUCACUGGCUGAGUGGAAAUAAUCCUUGGAUGCUAAUUGGUUCGCUAUCUGUGAAUUGGUUGCUUCCUUGCGAUACUCACUACUCGGUCAGUGAGGAAGUGCGUUUGCUGGUCAACGAGCUUUCUAACUGUCAUUACCCUGCGCUUUUCGAUUCGUCGAGUGGCCAGGAUGUGGCUUUGAGAUUGUUCGCACUUAGUAAUCGCGAUGCUGGCUUCCAACGGUUGCCUCCGGCCCGUCUUGAAACACGGACCAAGGAGUCUAACGUAUGUGCGAGUGUGUGAGUGGCAAACUUAUACGCGUAAUGAAAGUGAGGCCGUAUGGCCAUGUUGGGGUCACCAACAACCGACCUUGAUCUUCGGUGAAAGGUUUGAGUAUGAGCAUAUCCGUUAGGACCCGAAAGAUGGUGAACUAUGCCUGAGCAGGGUGAAGCCAGGGGAAACUCUGGUGGAGGCUCGUAGCGAUACUGACGUGCAAAUCGUUCGUCAGACUUGGGUAUAGGGGCGAAAGACUAAUCGAACCAUCUAGUAGCUGGUUCCCUCCGAAGUUUCCCUCAGGAUAGCUAGAGUCUUUAUCAGUUUUGUCAGGUAAAGCGAAUGAUUAGAGGUUCCGGGGAAGUAACUUCCUCGACCUAUUCUCAAACUUUAAAUGGGCAAGAUCCAGUAGUUACUUAAUUGAACUAUUGGGGUCAAUGAGACGACUCUAAGUGGGCCAUUUUUGGUAAGCAGAACUGGCGAUGAGGGAUGAACCUAACGCUCGGUUAAGGUGCUAAACUGCUCGCUCAUCAGAUACCACAAAGGGUGUUGGUCGAUCUUAACAGCAGGACGGUGGUCAUGGAAGUCGAAAUCCGCUAAGGAGUGUGUAACAACUCACCUGCCGAAUCGACUAGCCCCGAAAAUGGAUAGCGCUGAAGCGAGUGACCGAUACCG
RNAcentral lists this non-coding RNA (1057 nucleotides) under Perkinsus marinus ATCC 50983. Its description in RNAcentral is "Eukaryotic large subunit ribosomal RNA". It matches the Rfam family "Eukaryotic large subunit ribosomal RNA", at positions 417 to 1349 of the family's 3401-position model. The record is from Rfam by way of RNAcentral. Lineage: Eukaryota; Perkinsozoa; Perkinsida; Perkinsidae.